GGCUGAUCUGAGUGCGGUGGUGUUUACAACUAAUUGAUCACAACCGAUUACAGAUUUCUUUGUUUCAUCUCCUCUCCCACUGCUUCACUUGACCAGCCUUUU
Cercocebus atys (sooty mangabey) is the source of this 102-nucleotide unclassified non-coding RNA. It matches the Rfam family "Y RNA". From Rfam's summary of the family: Y RNAs are components of the Ro ribonucleoprotein particle (Ro RNP), in association with Ro60 and La proteins. The Y RNAs and Ro60 and La proteins are well conserved, but the function of the Ro RNP is not known. NCBI's taxonomy places the organism in Eukaryota, Metazoa, Chordata, Mammalia, Primates, Cercopithecidae. The record is from Ensembl.